This 445-nucleotide ribosomal RNA is filed under the name uncultured bacterium. Its description in RNAcentral is "bacterial SSU rRNA". It matches the Rfam family "Bacterial small subunit ribosomal RNA", at positions 354 to 796 of the family's 1533-position model. The record is from RNAcentral.
GUAAGGAAUAUUGGACAAUGGACGCAAGUCUGAUCCAGCCAUGCCGCGUGAAGGAUUAAGGUCCUCUGGAUUGUAAACUUCUUUUAUAAGGGACGAAAAAAGGCUUUUCUAAGUCGUCUGACGGUACCUUAUGAAUAAGCACCGGCUAACUCCGUGCCAGCAGCCGCGGUAAUACGGAGGGUGCAAGCGUUAUCCGGAUUCACUGGGUUUAAAGGGUGCGUAGGCGGGCAGGUAAGUCAGUGGUGAAAUCCUAGAGCUUAACUCUAGAACUGCCAUUGAUACUAUCUGUCUUGAAUAUUGUGGAGGUAAGCGGAAUAUGUCAUGUAGCGGUUAAAUGCUUCGAUAUGACAUAGAACACCUAUUGCGAAGGCAGCUUACUACGCAUAUAUUGACGCUGAGGCACGAAAGCGUGGGGAUCAAACAGGAUUAGAAACCCUUGUAGUCC